AGAAGUUUAGGAUAGCCAGUCCAAGAGCCUUCAAAGCCCUAAGCAAACUCAUAAAGUUUAACUUCUG
This 67-nucleotide transfer RNA is filed under the name Arvicola amphibius (Eurasian water vole). RNAcentral's name for it is "tRNA-Trp". Lineage: Eukaryota; Metazoa; Chordata; Mammalia; Rodentia; Cricetidae. The record is from RNAcentral.